UGGGGAAUUUUGGACAAUGGGCGAAAGCCUGAUCCAGCAAUGCCGCGUGUGCGAAGAAGGCCUUCGGGUUGUAAAGCACUUUGUCCGGAAAGAAAUCCGUCUGGCUAAUACCCGGAUGGGAUGACGGUACCGGAAGAAUAAGCACCGGCUAACUACGUGCC
This 161-nucleotide ribosomal RNA is filed under the name uncultured bacterium. Its description in RNAcentral is "partial 16S ribosomal RNA". It matches the Rfam family "Bacterial small subunit ribosomal RNA", at positions 355 to 509 of the family's 1533-position model. The record is from RNAcentral.